CCCGCUGAACUUAAGCAUAUCACUAAGCGGAGGAAAAGAAAUUAACUAAGAUUGCCUCAGUAACGGCGAGUGAAGCGGCAAAAGCCCAAACUGGAAAUCUGCACUCUUCGGGUGCCGAAUUGUAAUCUAGAGGGUGGAAGCUUACCUAGCAGUGACGCAGAAGUGCCUUAGAACGGGCCGCCCGAGAGGGUGACAGCCCCGUAUGUGGUGUCAGUGCUUACCGAGCUCUGCUCUAAGAGUCGGGUUGUUUUGAAUUGCAGCCCUAAUCCGGGAGAUAGACUUCUUCUAAGGCUAAAUAUAUAUGGGAAACCGAUAGCGAACAAGUACUGUGAAGGAAAGAUGAAAAGAACUUUGAAAAGAGAGUCAAAAGACUUGAAAUCGUUGAGAAGGAAGCGGUAGAAAUUUAUUCUUCUGUUGGGAAUGAAGGUGUUCGGCUCGCGUAUCGGCGUUUGUUAGUACGUCAAAGGCUACGGGUGUCGCGUGCGUGACUGAUAGCUGGAUUCCCUGCAGUGAGGCAAAAUGAGGUUUCGUUCCUACAAAAGCUUUGCAAAUCUCGGUGGCUUCGGUUAUCAGUUUGCAUUAGUUAGUAGGCGCGGAGCCUGAGGAAGCUUUGUGCGAUUUUGCCAAAAUGGUUUUUACCGACCCGUCUUGAAACACGG
This 659-nucleotide ribosomal RNA is filed under the name uncultured fungus. Its description in RNAcentral is "eukaryotic LSU rRNA". It matches the Rfam family "Eukaryotic large subunit ribosomal RNA", at positions 24 to 664 of the family's 3401-position model. Lineage: Eukaryota; Fungi. The record is from RNAcentral.